Molecule: unclassified non-coding RNA, 211 nt
Filed under: Hevea brasiliensis (rubber tree)
Lineage: Eukaryota; Viridiplantae; Streptophyta; Magnoliopsida; Malpighiales; Euphorbiaceae
Source: RNAcentral
UCCUAUUCCUUUGGUCAACAUACAUAUUUUGCCCAGUAAAUAUUCUAGGCCCGUUUCAGUCAUUGGAUUUUUGGAUACUGUAGCCCAUAAGAGCAUAAUGAACCCGGCCAUUCUUCCAUCUGAAAGUUGGGUCCCACACAAAAAGUAUUUCAAAGCAACUGAUGGGAAGGUUUUCAAGAACAAUUUGAUUAUUAUGAAUCCUAUUGGUAUC